RNAcentral lists this ribosomal RNA (1396 nucleotides) under Euglena cantabrica. RNAcentral's name for it is "bacterial SSU rRNA". It matches the Rfam family "Eukaryotic small subunit ribosomal RNA", at positions 25 to 943 of the family's 1831-position model. Lineage: Eukaryota; Euglenozoa; Euglenophyceae; Euglenales; Euglenaceae. The record is from RNAcentral.
GGAGGGCAAGNCUAGGUACUAAGCCAUGCAUGUCUCAGCGCACAUGGAAUCGACAGUGGGUCUGUGAAUGGCUCCUUACAUCAGCAGUCAUCUCCGUGAUAGAGUGUGGUCGGAGCCAGCCCCCAAUUCCCUGCCAGGCUCCCAGUGGGACAUCCUCCAAAACCUUGUGGCUAAUACACGCGCGCCCAGGUCGGCCGUGGGAACGUCUGUCUCGACCCAAGCGGCACUGUCCGGCUUCGUCGACCUCUUGGCAGGCCGACGGCCGAUUGCGCCCAGCCGAUCGAAAGAUCAGCGCCCCUCCGACAGCCAGCGUUCCUGGUGGCUGACUCAGGCUGGUCCCCAAACCCUCGGGGACGGUCGCUCUGGCAGAGUUUUGCGGCGGUCCCUCCGUGGGCCGCCCGUGGCAUUGCUUGAUCACACGAACUUCUGACCUAUCAGCUGGGAUUGUGGUGUAGUGGACCACAAUGGCCGUGACAGGUACCGGAGAAUCAGGGUUCGAUUCCGGAGAGGGAGCCUGAGAGACGGCUACCACUGCCAAGGCGGGCAGCAGGCACGCAAAUUGCCCAAUCCAAAAACACCGCCCGAGACGCAGNGACGAACCGUAGCAAUCCCGCCAGGACUCAUACCCAGCGGGACUUGGAAUGUAUGCAAUCCAAACACAGUGAUGAGUAUCAACUGGAGGGCAAGUCUGGUGCCAGCAGCUGCGGUAAUUCCAGCUCCAAGGGCGUAUACUAUCAUUGUUGCUGUUAAAACACCUGUAGUCUGCCACUGGGUUGUGGGUCUGCUGGGUGGCCUGGCACCCUGGGCUGUGGGGUCUGCCGGUCCCUCGGGACUGUGUGGGAUCUCCGGUCUGGGGACCGUCGGGAUACAACCCCUGGCAGUAUGCUCCCACACCCAUUAUCAAGUAUCUCGGUGAUGUGAAUGCUCCUGCCGAAAGCCUNCUUCANUGGAGGCCCACCAGGCGGUUUAGUCCCCAAAGCAGGUGUAGGCAAGCCUCAGCCUGGCGUGGCNCCCUGUGUCCCACAGCNUCCAUGGUUCCCAGGGCCUCCACCGGAGUCCGUCACCAACGACACCCUGGAAAACUCAGUGUGCUUCAAGCGUCCUGUCCGUUAUGGCUGGAUGCCCAUCCAUGGAAUGUCAGAGCAUCGACCAAGUGUGGCUAUCAGUGUUGUGCUGGCCUUGGGGCCUACUCAGGGCAACGUGGUGCAUGCCUGGUGCAAGAGUCUGCUGGUGACCCGGCCUGGCCACCCUCUCCGGAGGUGUGUGCCUGUGUCAAAUUGCUUGUCUGUGCUUCAGUACUGUGUGGCAUGUGCUGUUCGGAGAUGAUGGACCACUCAGGGUGAAAGAUACAGCUGCGCCANAGGUGAAAUUCUUAGACCGCAGCUAGGUCCACUGC